GGGUUGCAUGGAGGGCCAAGGAUGGCCAACGGUCACGGGUUCGAAUCCCGUGCAACCCACCA
Molecule: transfer RNA, 62 nt
Filed under: Polycladomyces zharkentensis
Lineage: Bacteria; Bacillati; Bacillota; Bacilli; Caryophanales; Thermoactinomycetaceae
Description: tRNA-OTHER
Source: RNAcentral